UUGAAAAAAACAAAAAGAUCACCGUACUAAGGAAGAAAUCCACGGAUGGAUUUCUAGGUUUUUCUGAGCAAGGGACGGCUCAUAAAAACCGGUUCUGGACCACAAGUGACCAACCCAAACAAAAAGAGAUUUUCUGGUUACUCUUU
Molecule: non-coding RNA, 146 nt
Organism: Vibrio mangrovi
Lineage: Bacteria; Pseudomonadati; Pseudomonadota; Gammaproteobacteria; Vibrionales; Vibrionaceae
Source: Rfam